Molecule: unclassified non-coding RNA, 339 nt
Filed under: soil metagenome
Description: partial contains 5.8S ribosomal RNA, internal transcribed spacer 2, and large subunit ribosomal RNA
Rfam family: 5.8S ribosomal RNA (bases 1-120)
Source: RNAcentral
GAUGAAGAACGCAGCGAAAUGCGAUACGUAGUGUGAAUUGCAGAAUUCAGUGAAUCAUCGAAUCUUUGAACGCACAUUGCACCUCUCGGUAUUCCGGGAGGUAUGCCUGUUCGAGCGUCAUUUGUACCCUCAAGCUCUGCUUGGUGUUGGGUGUUUGUUCCGCCUCUGAGUGUGAACUCGCCUCAAAACAAUUGGCAGCCGGCGUACUUGUUUCGGAGCGCAGCACAUUUUGCGAUCCAGAUCAACGUACAGCGGCAUCCAAGAAGCCUUAUUUAACGCUCUUGACCUCGGAUCAGGUAGGGAUACCCGCUGAACUUAAGCAUAUCAAUAAGCGGAGGA